CAAUAGCGUAUAUUAAAGUUGUUGCAGUUAAAAAGCUCGUAGUUGAAUUUCUGUCAGGAGUGACCGGGCCUUUGGAUGAACUUCCAUUGUUUUUUGCUCUGUUUGUCAUCUCUAGACAUCCUGAAAUAUUUUUUAAAAAUAUUUCUCUUUUACUGUUAGCAAAACAGAGUGUUCCAAGCAAAGCGUAGUUUUGAAUACAUUAGAAUGGAAUAAUAAGAUAGGACUUUGGUGCUAUUUUGUUGGUUUGCACACCAAGGUAAUGAUUAAUAGGGACAGUUGGGGGUAUUCGUAUUUAAUUGUCAGAGGUGAAAUUCUUGGAUUUAUGAAAGACGAACUACUGCGAAAGCAUUUACCAAGGAUGUUUUCAUUAA
Molecule: ribosomal RNA, 371 nt
Filed under: uncultured eukaryote
Lineage: Eukaryota
Description: partial 18S ribosomal RNA
Rfam family: Eukaryotic small subunit ribosomal RNA
Source: RNAcentral